RNAcentral lists this ribosomal RNA (254 nucleotides) under uncultured bacterium. RNAcentral's name for it is "partial 16S ribosomal RNA". It matches the Rfam family "Bacterial small subunit ribosomal RNA", at positions 524 to 776 of the family's 1533-position model. The record is from RNAcentral.
UACGGAGGGUGCGAGCGUUGUCCGGAAUCAUUGGGCGUAAAGGGCGCGUAGGUGGCCCGGUCAGUCUUUGGUGAAAGCGCGGGGCUCAACCCUGCGUCGGCCAGGGAUACUGCCGCGGCUCGAGCACUGUAGAGGUGGGUGGAAUUCCUAGUGUAGAGGUGAAAUUCGUAGAUAUUAGGAAGAACACCGGUGGCGAAGGCGGCCCACUGGAUCGGUACUGACGCUGAGGUGCGAAAGCGUGGGGAGCAAACAGG